GCCGGGCAUGGUGGCGGGUGCCUGUAAUCCCAGCUUUUUGGGAGGCUGAGGUGGGAGAAUCGCUUGAACCCAGGGAGCAGAGGUUGCAGUGAGCUGAGAUUGCACCACUGCACUCCAGCCUGGGCAACAGAGUGAGACUCCAUCUCAA
Homo sapiens (human) is the source of this 148-nucleotide non-coding RNA. It matches the Rfam family "Metazoan signal recognition particle RNA". From Rfam's summary of the family: The signal recognition particle (SRP) is a universally conserved ribonucleoprotein. It is involved in the co-translational targeting of proteins to membranes. The record is from Rfam. NCBI's taxonomy places the organism in Eukaryota, Metazoa, Chordata, Mammalia, Primates, Hominidae.